Molecule: ribosomal RNA, 437 nt
Filed under: uncultured bacterium
Lineage: Bacteria
Description: partial 16S ribosomal RNA
Rfam family: Bacterial small subunit ribosomal RNA
Source: RNAcentral
CUACGGGGCGCUGCAGUGAGGAAUAUUGCACAAUGGGGGGAACCCUGAUGCAGCAACGCCGCGUGGAGGAUGACGCAUUUCGGUGUGUAAACUCCUUUUAUAUGUCAAGAAAAUGACGGUAGCAUAUGAAUAAGCACCGGCUAACUCCGUGCCAGCAGCCGCGGUAAUACGGAGGGUGCAAGCGUUACUCGGAAUCACUGGGCGUAAAGGACGCGUAGGCGGGUUGGAAAGUCAGGUGUGAAAUCCUACAGCUUAACUGUAGAACUGCACUUGAAACUUCUAAUCUAGAGUAUGGGAGGGGGAGAUGGAAUUAGUGGUGUAGGGGUAAAAUCCGUAGAUAUCACUAGGAAUACCUAAAGCGAAGGCGAUCUCCUGGAACAUUACUGACGCUAAGGCGUGAAAGCGUGGGGAGCAAACAGGAUAGAUACCUGGUAGUC